GUAGGUGGCAAGCGUUGUCCGGAAUUAUUGGGCGUAAAGCGCGCGCAGGCGGUUCUUUAAGUCUGAUGUGAAAGCCCACGGCUCAACCGUGGAGGGUCAUUGGAAACUGGAGAACUUGAGUACAGAAGAGGAAAGCGGAAUUCCACGUGUAGCGGUGAAAUGCGUAGAGAUGUGGAGGAACACCAGUGGCGAAGGCGGCUUUCUGGUCUGUAACUGACGCUGAGGCGCGAAAGCGUGGGGAGCAAACAGGGAUUAGAUACCCUGGUAGUCCACGCCGUAAACGAUGAGUGCUAAGUGUUAGGGGGGUUUCCGCCCCCUUAGUGCUGCAGCUAACGCAUUAAGCACUCCGCCUGGGGAUACGGCGCAAGGCUG
RNAcentral lists this ribosomal RNA (372 nucleotides) under uncultured organism. RNAcentral describes it as "partial 16S ribosomal RNA". It matches the Rfam family "Bacterial small subunit ribosomal RNA", at positions 527 to 896 of the family's 1533-position model. The record is from RNAcentral.